RNAcentral lists this microRNA (22 nucleotides) under Petromyzon marinus (sea lamprey). RNAcentral describes it as "pma-miR-4579". Lineage: Eukaryota; Metazoa; Chordata; Hyperoartia; Petromyzontiformes; Petromyzontidae. The record is from miRBase by way of RNAcentral.
GAGACUCGUGGUGACUCCGACU